GGCGCUGUCGUCGGCGCCGACGGCGGUGAAGGCGGCGGCGAACUGCUACUGCCAGCUCCUCGCGUCCCAGAGCGACAACAACGUCAAGCUGAUCGUCCUCGAUAGGCUCGCGGAGCUGAAGAACGACCACAGGCACGUCAUGCAGGAGCUCGUGAUGGAUAUUCUGCGCGCGGUGUCCACGCCGGAUCUGGACAUUCGAAAGAAGACGUUGGACCUCGUGCUCGACUUGGUGUCGAACCGAAACAUCGACGAGGUCGUCCUGACGCUCAAGAAGGAGAUCACGAAGUCGCAGGGCGACGCCGGGGAGAAGAGCGGCGAGUACAGGCAGAUGCUCGUGCAGGCGACGCACGCGUGCGCGGUCAAGUUCCCGGCGGUGGCGGGGUCCGUGGUGCACCUGUUGAUGGAUUUUUUAGGCGACGUCAACUCCGCCGCGGCGUUCGACGUCGCGAUGUUCGUCCGCGAGAUUGCCCAGACGAACGACGCGCUGCGGGACUCGAUCCUCCAGAGGCUCCUGGACUCGUUCUACACGAUUCGCUCGUCGCGCGUGUGCGGGACGUGCCUGUGGAUCAUCGGCGAAUACUCGCAGAGCGCGACGCAAGUCGAGGAGGCGUUCGCGUGCGCCAAGGCGUCGCUCGGCGCGACGCCCUUCUUCGAGCCGCCGCACGCCAAGGCGAAGCGAGAGCGCGUGCACGACGACGGGUCGGACCGCGACGACGACGACGGCAGCUCGCGCAGGGGCAGCCUGGAGAGUCCCGGGGGGGGUAAUUCGAAGAUCGCGGCGGUCACCGCGGGGGUGAAGAACGUCGUCUUGGCGGACGGCACGUACGCGACGCAGACGGUCGUGGCGGACCAUCCGUCUGCCGCGGUCGGUAACGCCGUCGGCGCGGUCGCGCCGAACCUCCGUUCGCUUCUGCUCGCGGGCGAUUUCUUCCUCGGGAGCGUCGUCUCCACGACGCUCACGAAGCUCGCGCUGAGGUACGUAGAGACGGCGCCGGCUGCGGGGAUCGAACCGGAGGCGAUCAACAAGCUUCACGCGGAGUGCAUGCUGUACAUCGUGUGCAUGCUGCGGCUCGGGAAGGAGGGCGGCCUACCGACGACGAUCGACGACGACUCCUACGACCGCAUGAUGCUGUGCGUGAAGACGCUCGCGGAGCCGGAGACGCAGGACCGCGACGUGUGGCUGCGGUCGUGCAAAGCCGCGUACGAGGGUCUCAUCGUCGAUCGCAAGCGGCAGGCGGAGGCGCUGGACGGGGAUAAGCUCGGCGAGAAGAUCGACGCGCAGGCGGACGACCUCAUCGACUUCACGCAUCUGAAGUCGCGAAAGGGUUUGUCGCAGGUGGAGAUCGAGGACGCGGUGGCGACGGAUCUCAAGCGCGCGACCGGGUUUCGAACGGAUUCGGACGCGCCCGAGGAGAAGAAGCUCAACCGCGUCGUGCAGCUCACCGGGUUCAGCGAUCCCGUCUACGCCGAGGCGUACGUCACCGUGCAUCAGUACGACAUCGUCAUGGACGUCACGGUCGUGAACCGCACGCAGGAGACGUUGCAGAACGUGUGCUUAGAGCUCGCGACGAUGGGGGACUUGAAGCUCGUGGAGCGGCCGCAGAAUCACACGCUGGCGGUGGGCGAGACGAAACAGAUUCGCGCCAACAUCAAGGUGUCUUCCACGGAGACGGGCGUCAUCUUCGGGAACGUCGUGUACGAGAGCGCCAAGUCCGACCGCGAGGUUGUCGUCCUGAACGACGUGCACAUCGACAUCAUGGACUACAUCUCCCCGGCGUCGUGCGGGGACACGGAGUUCAGGUCGAUGUGGGCGGAGUUUGAGUGGGAGAAUAAAGUCGCGGUGAACAC
Molecule: long non-coding RNA, 1848 nt
Filed under: Micromonas pusilla
Lineage: Eukaryota; Viridiplantae; Chlorophyta; Mamiellophyceae; Mamiellales; Mamiellaceae
Description: long non-coding RNA (MPUS_LNC000065)
Source: RNAcentral